RNAcentral lists this ribosomal RNA (492 nucleotides) under uncultured bacterium. Its description in RNAcentral is "partial 16S ribosomal RNA". It matches the Rfam family "Bacterial small subunit ribosomal RNA", at positions 29 to 507 of the family's 1533-position model. The record is from RNAcentral.
AGUGAACGCUGGCGGUAGGCCUAACACAUGCAAGUCGAACGGCAGCACAGUAAGAGCUUGCUCUUACGGGUGGCGAGUGGCGGACGGGGGAGGAAUACAUCGGAAUCUACUUUUUCGUGGGGGAUAACGUAGGGAAACUUACGCUAAUACCGCAUACGACCUACGGGUGAAAGCAGGGGAUCUUCGGACCUUGCGCGAUUGAAUGAGCCGAUGUCGGAUUAGCUAGUUGGCGGGGUAAAGGCCCACCAAGGCGACGAUCCGUUGCUGGUCUGAGAGGAUGAUCAGCCACACUGGAACUGAGACACGGUCCAGACUCCUACGGGAGGCAGCAGUGGGGAAUAUUGGACAAUGGGCGCAAGCCUGAUCCAGCCAUACCGCGUGGGUGAAGAAGGCCUUCGGGUUGUAAAGCCCUUUUGUUGGGAAAGAAAAGCAGCAGGUUAAUACCCCGCUGUUCUGACGGUACCCAAAGAAUAAGCACCGGCUAACUUCGUG